RNAcentral lists this ribosomal RNA (252 nucleotides) under uncultured bacterium. RNAcentral describes it as "partial 16S ribosomal RNA". It matches the Rfam family "Bacterial small subunit ribosomal RNA", at positions 524 to 776 of the family's 1533-position model. The record is from RNAcentral.
UACGUAGGUGGCAAGCGUUAUCCGGAAUUAUUGGGCGUCACGGGCUCGCAGGCGGUUUCUCCCUUUUAUGUUUAAAGUUCGGGGCUUAACCCCGUGAUGCCAUAGAAACUGGUAGACUAGAGUGCAGGAGAGGUUAGUGGAAUUCCAUGUGUAGCGGUAAAAUGCGUAGAUAUAUGAAGGAACACCAGUGGCGAAGGCGGCUAACUGGCCUGUAACUGACGCUGAGGCUCGAAAGCGUGGGGAGCAAAUAGG